AGUGGCGAACGGGUGAGUAAAGUAUCGGAACGUGCCCAGUCGUGGGGGAUAACGUAGCGAAAGUUACGCUAAUACCGCAUACGAUCUAUGGAUGAAAGCGGGGGAUCGCAAGACCUCGCGCGAUUGGAGCGGCCGAUAUCAGAUUAGGUAGUUGGUGGGGUAAAGGCUCACCAAGCCGACGAUCUGUAGCUGGUCUGAGAGGACGACCAGCCACACUGGGACUGAGACACGGCCCACACUCCUACGGGAGGCAGCAGUGGGGAAUUUUGGACAAUGGGCGCAAGCCUGAUCCAGCCAUGCCGCGUGCAGGAUGAAGGCCUUCGGGUUGUAAACUGCUUUUGUACGGAACGAAAAGGUUUGGCCUAAUAAGCUGAGCUCAUGACGGUACCGUAAGAAUAAGCACCGGCUAACUACGUGCCAGCAGCCGCGGUAAUUCGUAGGGUGCGAGCGUUAAUCGGAAUUACUGGGCGUAAAGCGUGCGCAGGCUGUUAUGAAAGACAGAUGUGACAUCCCCGGGCUCAACCUGGGAACUGCAUUAGUGACUGCAUAGCUGGAGUACGGCAGAGGGGGAUGGAAUUCCGCGUGUAGCAGUGAAAUGCGUAUAUAUGCGGAGGAACACCGAUGGCGAAGGCUACUCCUCCUGUGUCUUGUACUGACGCUCAUGCACGAAGCGUGAG
This 677-nucleotide ribosomal RNA is filed under the name uncultured Curvibacter sp. RNAcentral's name for it is "bacterial SSU rRNA". It matches the Rfam family "Bacterial small subunit ribosomal RNA", at positions 94 to 765 of the family's 1533-position model. The record is from RNAcentral. Lineage: Bacteria; Pseudomonadati; Pseudomonadota; Betaproteobacteria; Burkholderiales; Comamonadaceae.